This 243-nucleotide unclassified non-coding RNA is filed under the name uncultured fungus. RNAcentral's name for it is "sequence contains ITS1". The record is from RNAcentral. Lineage: Eukaryota; Fungi.
UUAACAUGUUUUAAAGAUUGCGGCGGGUGGCCUACUCAGACAACUAAUUGGUUCAAAGGUUUGUUAUUGGGCCCUUCCCCAGACACCUCAACCCAGGACCCCAAUUGAGGGGGUGGGCUGGCAGCAGUGGCCACUGAUCUGGGGAAGCAACAUGGGAGUGUACACAUGGAUGUGUUUGCUUGGGGGCCCGAUUGGACAUCCCAGACAUUUGUAAUGAUCCUUCCGCAGGUUCACCUACGGAAA